AUUGAACGCUGGCGGCAUGCUUUACACAUGCAAGUCGAACGGCAGCGCGGGGCAACCUGGCGGCGAGUGGCGCACGGGUGAGUAAUAUAUCGGAACGUACCCAGAAGUGGGGGAUAACGUAGCGAAAGUUACGCUAAUACCGCAUACGAUCUACGGAUGAAAGUCGGGGACCGCAAGGCCUUAUGCUUUUGGAGCGGCCGAUAUCUGAUUAGCUAGUUGGUGAGGUAAAGGCUCACCAAGGCGACGAUCAGUAGCUGGUCUGAGAGGACGACCAGCCACACUGGAACUGAGACACGGUCCAGACUCCUACGGGAGGCAGCAGUGGGGAAUUUUGGACAAUGGGCGCAAGCCUGAUCCAGCAAUGCCGCGUGAGUGAAGAAGGCCUUCGGGUUGUAAAGCUCUUUUGUCAGGGAAGAAACGGUAGAGGCUAAUAUCCUUUGCUAAUGACGGUACCUGAAGAAUAAGCACCGGCUAACUACGUG
RNAcentral lists this ribosomal RNA (482 nucleotides) under uncultured bacterium. RNAcentral describes it as "partial 16S ribosomal RNA". It matches the Rfam family "Bacterial small subunit ribosomal RNA", at positions 30 to 507 of the family's 1533-position model. The record is from RNAcentral.